CCGGUGGCGGAUGGGCAUGCGUCGCAUUAGUUAGUUGGCGGUGUAACGGACCACCAAGACGACGAUGCGUAGGGGUUCUGAGAGGAAGGUCCCCCACACUGGUACUGAGACACGGACCAGACUCCUACGGGAGGCAGCAGUGAGGAAUAUUGGUCAAUGGGCGGGAGCCUGAACCAGCCAAGUCGCGUGAGGGAUGACGGUCCUAUGGGUUGUAAACCUCUUUUGCCGGGGAGCAAAGUGCCGCACGUGUGCGGUUUGGAGAGUACCCGGAGAAAAAGCAUCGGCUAACUCCGUGCCAGCAGCCGCGGUAAUACGGAGGAUGCGAGCGUUAUCCGGAUUUAUUGGGUUUAAAGGGUGCGUAGGCGGACGCUUAAGUCAGCGGUAAAAUUGCGGGGCUCAACCUCGUCGAGCCGUUGAAACUGGGUGCCUUGAGUGGGCGAGAAGUACGCGGAAUGCGUGGUGUAGCGGUGAAAUGCAUAGAUAUCACGCAGAACUCCGAUUGCGAAGGCAGCGUACCGGCGCCCUACUGACGCUGAAGCACGAAGGCGUGGGUAUCGAACAGGAUUAGAUACCCUGGUAGUCCACGCAGUAAACGAUGAAUGCUAGUUGUCCGGGGCG
RNAcentral lists this ribosomal RNA (618 nucleotides) under uncultured bacterium. RNAcentral's name for it is "bacterial SSU rRNA". It matches the Rfam family "Bacterial small subunit ribosomal RNA", at positions 215 to 831 of the family's 1533-position model. The record is from RNAcentral.